GACGAACGCUGGCGGCGUGCCUAACACAUGCAAGUCGAGCGGAGAUUGCAGCAAUGUAAUCUUAGCGGCGGACGGGUGAGUAACGCGUGGGCAACCUGCCUUUAUCUGGGGGAUAACACAGGGAAACUUGUGCUAAUACCGCAUAACAUCAUGAAGAGACAUCUUUUUAUGAUCAAAGGAGUAAUCCGGAUAGAGAUGGGCCCGCGUCCGAUUAGAUAGUUGGUGGUGUAACGGACCACCAAGACGACGAUCGGUAGCCGAACUGAGAGGGUGAUCGGCCACAUUGGGACUGAGACACGGCCCAGACUCCUACGGGAGGCAGCAGUGGGGAAUAUUGCGCAAUGGGGGAAACCCUGACGCAGCAACGCCGCGUGAAGGAUGAAGGUUUUCGGAUCGUAAACUUCUUUGAUGAGGGACGAAUAAACGACGGUACCUCAAAAACAAGCCACGGCUAACUACGUGCCAGCAGCCGCCGUAA
This 478-nucleotide ribosomal RNA is filed under the name uncultured bacterium. Its description in RNAcentral is "partial 16S ribosomal RNA". It matches the Rfam family "Bacterial small subunit ribosomal RNA", at positions 28 to 523 of the family's 1533-position model. The record is from RNAcentral.